GAUGAACGCUGGCGGCGUGCCUAAUACAUGCAAGUCGAGCGAACAGAUAAGGAGCUUGCUCCUUUGAAGUUAGCGGCGGACGGGUGAGUAACACGUGGGUAACCUACCUAUAAGACUGGGAUAACUUCGGGAAACCGGAGCUAAUACCGGAUAACAUUUAGAACCGCAUGGUUCUAAAGUGAAAGGUGGUUUUGCUAUCACUUAUAGAUGGACCCGCGCCGUAUUAGCUAGUUGGUAAGGUAACGGCUUACCAAGGCGACGAUACGUAGCCGACCUGAGAGGGUGAUCGGCCACACUGGAACUGAGACACGGUCCAGACUCCUACGGGAGGCAGCAGUAGGGAAUCUUCCGCAAUGGGCGAAAGCCUGACGGAGCAACGCCGCGUGAGUGAUGAAGGGUUUCGGCUCGUAAAACUCUGUUAUUAGGGAAGAACAAAUGUGUAAGUAACUGUGCACAUCUUGACGGUACCUAAUCAGAAAGCCACGGCUAACUACGUGCCAGCAGCCGCGGUAAUACGUAGGUGGCAAGCGUUAUCCGGAAUUAUUGGGCGUAAAGCGCGCGUAGGCGGUUUCUUAAGUCUGAUGUGAAAGCCCACGGCUCAACCCGUGGAGGGUCAUUGGAAACUGGGAAACUUGAGUGCAGAAGAGGAAAGUGGAAUUCCAUGUGUAGCGGUGAAAUGCGCAGAGAUAUGGAGGAACACCAGUGGCGAAGGCGACUUUCUGGUCUGUAACUGACGCUGAUGUGCGAAAGCGUGGGGAUCAAACAGGAUUAGAUACCCUGGUAGUCCACGCCGUAAACGAUGAGUGCUAAGUGUUAGGGGGUUUCCGCCCCUUAGUGCUGCAGCUAACGCAUUAAGCACUCCGCCUGGGGAGUACGACCGCAAGGUUGAAACUCAAAGGAAUUGACGGGGACCCGCACAAGCGGUGGAGCAUGUGGUUUAAUUCGAAGCAACGCGAAGAACCUUACCAAAUCUUGACAUCCUUUGAAAACUCUAGAGAUAGAGCCUUCCCCUUCGGGGGACAAAGUGACAGGUGGUGCAUGGUUGUCGUCAGCUCGUGUCGUGAGAUGUUGGGUUAAGUCCCGCAACGAGCGCAACCCUUAAGCUUAGUUGCCAUCAUUAAGUUGGGCACUCUAGGUUGACUGCCGGUGACAAACCGGAGGAAGGUGGGGAUGACGUCAAAUCAUCAUGCCCCUUAUGAUUUGGGCUACACACGUGCUACAAUGGACAAUACAAAGGGCAGCUAAACCGCGAGGUCAUGCAAAUCCCAUAAAGUUGUUCUCAGUUCGGAUUGUAGUCUGCAACUCGACUACAUGAAGCUGGAAUCGCUAGUAAUCGUAGAUCAGCAUGCUACGGUGAAUACGUUCCCGGGUCU
Molecule: ribosomal RNA, 1373 nt
Filed under: uncultured bacterium
Lineage: Bacteria
Description: bacterial SSU rRNA
Rfam family: Bacterial small subunit ribosomal RNA
Source: RNAcentral